This 46-nucleotide non-coding RNA is filed under the name Schistosoma haematobium. The record is from RNAcentral. Lineage: Eukaryota; Metazoa; Platyhelminthes; Trematoda; Strigeidida; Schistosomatidae.
GAACUGCUGAAGAGUCUCAUAAUAAGACGAAACGGUUGUUCAGUGU